Molecule: transfer RNA, 94 nt
Filed under: Candidatus Omnitrophota bacterium
Lineage: Bacteria; Pseudomonadati; Candidatus Omnitrophota
Description: Candidatus Omnitrophica bacterium tRNA-Ser
Rfam family: tRNA
About the family: Transfer RNA (tRNA) molecules are approximately 80 nucleotides in length. Their secondary structure includes four short double-helical elements and three loops (D, anti-codon, and T loops). Further hydrogen bonds mediate the characteristic L-shaped molecular structure. tRNAs have two regions of fundamental functional importance: the anti-codon, which is responsible for specific mRNA codon recognition, and the 3' end, to which the tRNAs corresponding amino acid is attached (by aminoacyl-tRNA synthetases). tRNAs cope with the degeneracy of the genetic code in two manners: having more than one tRNA (with a specific anti-codon) for a particular amino acid; and 'wobble' base-pairing, i.e. permitting non-standard base-pairing at the 3rd anti-codon position.
Source: RNAcentral
GGAGAGGUCGUAUAGUGGCCUAGUACGGCGGUUUGCUAAACCGUUGUACGGAUGAAAGUCCGUACCCAGGGUUCGAAUCCCUGCCUCUCCGCCA